Molecule: ribosomal RNA, 462 nt
Filed under: Streptomyces cavourensis
Lineage: Bacteria; Bacillati; Actinomycetota; Actinomycetes; Kitasatosporales; Streptomycetaceae
Description: partial 23S ribosomal RNA
Rfam family: Bacterial large subunit ribosomal RNA
Source: RNAcentral
CGGCGUUGAAGGCGGCCCGGUGGUCGCGCAGCUCGGUGGCGGCGGUCAACGGAUAAAAGGUACCCCGGGGAUAACAGGCUGAUCUUCCCCAAGAGUCCAUAUCGACGGGAUGGUUUGGCACCUCGAUGUCGGCUCGUCGCAUCCUGGGGCUGGAGUCGGUCCCAAGGGUUGGGCUGUUCGCCCAUUAAAGCGGUACGCGAGCUGGGUUUAGAACGUCGUGAGACAGUUCGGUCCCUAUCCGCUGUGCGCGUAGGAAUAUUGAGAAGGGCUGUCCCUAGUACGAGAGGACCGGGACGGACGAACCUCUGGUGUGCCAGUUGUUCUGCCAAGGGCAUGGCUGGUUGGCUACGUUCGGAAAGGAUAACCGCUGAAAGCAUCUAAGCGGGAAGCCUGCUUCGAGAUGAGUAUUCCCACCAACUUGAUUGGUUAAGGCUCCCAGUAGACGACUGGGUUGAUAGGCCA